UGGAUUGCUAGCUCAACUGGAUAAGAGUAGCGGACCUUUAAUCCGUCAGUUCUGGGUUCGAAUCCCAGGCAAUCCACCAA
RNAcentral lists this transfer RNA (80 nucleotides) under Escherichia phage JLBYU43. RNAcentral's name for it is "tRNA-Lys". It matches the Rfam family "tRNA". From Rfam's summary of the family: Transfer RNA (tRNA) molecules are approximately 80 nucleotides in length. Their secondary structure includes four short double-helical elements and three loops (D, anti-codon, and T loops). The record is from RNAcentral. Lineage: Duplodnaviria; Heunggongvirae; Uroviricota; Caudoviricetes; Demerecviridae.